RNAcentral lists this ribosomal RNA (327 nucleotides) under Symphytognathidae sp. SYMP-004-THAI. RNAcentral's name for it is "bacterial SSU rRNA". It matches the Rfam family "Eukaryotic small subunit ribosomal RNA", at positions 1481 to 1804 of the family's 1831-position model. Lineage: Eukaryota; Metazoa; Arthropoda; Arachnida; Araneae; Symphytognathidae. The record is from RNAcentral.
CCGGGGCCGCACGCGCGCUACAUUGAAGGACUCAGCGUGUACUCUCCCUGCCCGACAGGGCCGGGUAACCCGUUGAAACUCCUUCGUGCUGGGGAUAGGCGACUGUAAUUACCGCCUUGAACGAGGAAUUCCCAGUAAGCGCGAGUCAUCAGCUCGUGCUGAUUACGUCCCUGGCCUUUGUCCACACCGCCCGUCGCUACAACCGAUUGAAUGAUUUAGUGAGGUCUUCGGACUGGCUCUCGGACUGGCCUCCGGGUCGGGCCGGCGUGCCGGAAAGAUGACCAAACUUGAUUAUUUAGAGGAUGUAAAAGUCGUAACAAGGUUGUC